AGAGUUUGAUCAUGGCUCAGAUUGAACGCUGGCGGCAGGCCUAACACAUGCAAGUCGAGCGGUAGCACAGAGAGCUUGCUCUCGGGUGACGAGCGGCGGACGGGUGAGUAAUGUCUGGGAAACUGCCUGAUGGAGGGGGAUAACUACUGGAAACGGUAGCUAAUACCGCAUAAUGUCGCAAGACCAAAGUGGGGGACCUUCGGGCCUCAUGCCAUCAGAUGUGCCCAGAUGGGAUUAGCUAGUAGGUGGGGUAACGGCUCACCUAGGCGACGAUCCCUAGCUGGUCUGAGAGGAUGACCAGCCACACUGGAACUGAGACACGGUCCAGACUCCUACGGGAGGCAGCAGUGGGGAAUAUUGCACAAUGGGCGCAAGCCUGAUGCAGCCAUGCCGCGUGUGUGAAGAAGGCCUUCGGGUUGUAAAGCACUUUCAGCGGGGAGGAAGGCGAUAAGGUUAAUAACCUUGUCGAUUGACGUUACCCGCAGAAGAAGCACCGGCUAACUCCGUGCCAGCAGCCGCGGUAAUACGGAGGGUGCAAGCGUUAAUCGGAAUUACUGGGCGUAAAGCGCACGCAGGCGGUCUGUCAAGUCGGAUGUGAAAUCCCCGGGCUCAACCUGGGAACUGCAUUCGAAACUGGCAGGCUAGAGUCUUGUAGAGGGGGGUAGAAUUCCAGGUGUAGCGGUGAAAUGCGUAGAGAUCUGGAGGAAUACCGGUGGCGAAGGCGGCCCCCUGGACAAAGACUGACGCUCAGGUGCGAAAGCGUGGGGAGCAAACAGGAUUAGAUACCCUGGUAGUCCACGCCGUAAACGAUGUCGAUUUGGAGGUUGUGCCCUUGAGGCGUGGCUUCCGGAGCUAACGCGUUAAAUCGACCGCCUGGGGAGUACGGCCGCAAGGUUAAAACUCAAAUGAAUUGACGGGGGCCCGCACAAGCGGUGGAGCAUGUGGUUUAAUUCGAUGCAACGCGAAGAACCUUACCUGGUCUUGACAUCCACAGAACUUUCCAGAGAUGGAUUGGUGCCUUCGGGAACUGUGAGACAGGUGCUGCAUGGCUGUCGUCAGCUCGUGUUGUGAAAUGUUGGGUUAAGUCCCGCAACGAGCGCAACCCUUAUCCUUUGUUGCCAGCGGU
Molecule: ribosomal RNA, 1126 nt
Filed under: Klebsiella pneumoniae
Lineage: Bacteria; Pseudomonadati; Pseudomonadota; Gammaproteobacteria; Enterobacterales; Enterobacteriaceae
Also listed under: 2 other names
Description: bacterial SSU rRNA
Rfam family: Bacterial small subunit ribosomal RNA
Source: RNAcentral